AACGCUAGCUACAGGCUUAACACAUGCAAGUCGAGGGGAAACGACAUUGGAAGCUUGCUUCCGAUGGGCGUCGACCGGCGCACGGGUGAGUAACGCGUAUCCAACCUGCCCACCACUUGGGAAUAACCUUGCGAAAGUAAGACUAAUGCCCAAUGACAUUGAGUGCGGACAUCUAAUCUCAAUUAAAGAUUUAUCGAUGAUGGAUGGGGAUGCGUCCGAUUAGCUUGUUGGCGGGGUAACGGCCCACCAAGGCAACGAUCGGUAGGGGUUCUGAGAGGAAGGUCCCCCACAUUGGAACUGAGACACGGUCCAAACUCCUACGGGAGGCAGCAGUGAGGAAUAUUGGUCAAUGGGCGAGAGCCUGAACCAGCCAAGUAGCGUGCAGGAUGACGGCCCUAUGGGUUGUAAACUGCUUUUAUAAGGGAAUAAAGUGGGGCUCGUGAGCUCUUUUGCAUGUACCUUAUGAAUAAGGACCGGCUAAUUCCGUGCCAGCAGCCGCGGUAAUACGGAAGGUCCGGGCGUUAUCCGGAUUUAUUGGGUUUAAAGGGAGCGUAGGCCGCAGGUUAAGCGUGUUGUGAAAUGUAGGGGCUCAACCUCUGCACUGCAGCGCGAACUGGCUUGCUUGAGUACGCACAACGUGGGCGGAAUUCGUGGUGUAGCGGUGAAAUGCUUAGAUAUCACGAAGAACUCCGAUUG
RNAcentral lists this ribosomal RNA (696 nucleotides) under uncultured Bacteroidales bacterium. Its description in RNAcentral is "bacterial SSU rRNA". It matches the Rfam family "Bacterial small subunit ribosomal RNA", at positions 32 to 715 of the family's 1533-position model. The record is from RNAcentral. Lineage: Bacteria; Pseudomonadati; Bacteroidota; Bacteroidia; Bacteroidales.